GAGAGUUAAAUAGUACGUGAAAUUGUUGAAAGGGAAACGAUUGAAGUCAGUCAUGCUAGUGAAAAAUCAGUUUGACGGGUUUUGAGUUCGGGAGUAGAGGCAGGGUCAAACCGUUUCUCUUUUGAACUUGGGAUUUGUUAGAUGUACUUUUUCUUUGGCAGGUCAGCGUCGAUUUCGGAGGUUGUAAAAUACUUGGGGGAAAGUAACUCUGCUUCGGGAGAGUAUUAUAGACCCUGGGGGAUGCAGCCUGCGGGAUCGAGGAUUGCAGCAAAUGCCUUUGGCUUGUCGCCUGAUCUCUGGAUGUUACCUCGCUUUUGACAACAUUCUUGCCACUUGUGGGUACUAAUGCCCAUUAGGUUAGAGCGAUCAAAAAUUUUGCUAAGGAUGCUGACGUAAUGGCUUUAAACGA
RNAcentral lists this ribosomal RNA (409 nucleotides) under uncultured Diversispora. RNAcentral's name for it is "partial 28S ribosomal RNA". The record is from RNAcentral. Lineage: Eukaryota; Fungi; Glomeromycota; Glomeromycetes; Diversisporales; Diversisporaceae.